Molecule: unclassified non-coding RNA, 158 nt
Filed under: uncultured Chaetothyriales
Lineage: Eukaryota; Fungi; Ascomycota; Eurotiomycetes; Chaetothyriales
Description: sequence contains ITS2
Source: RNAcentral
UCACCGUAUCAAGCAUGGCUUGCUGUUGGGCCCUGUGUCACCAGGUGACAGGUCCAAAAGACAAUGACCGGUGUCAUACAGACUCUACAUGCAACGAGCUUUUCACAGCACGCAUCUAGCAGUUGUCUGGCCCGGUUCUCACCCCCUUUAUUUCUCAA